CUGCCCUCAAGCCCGGCUUGUGUGUUGGGUCGCCGUCCCCUCCUUCCCGGGGGGGACGGGCCCCGAAAGGGCAGCGGCGACUUCGCGUCCGGUCCUCGAGCGUAUGGGGCUUCGUCACUCCGCUCUGGUAGGAACGGCCGACAGUCUGCCGACUCUCCAACCUUCUUUUUUUCCAGG
Molecule: unclassified non-coding RNA, 177 nt
Filed under: uncultured Penicillium
Lineage: Eukaryota; Fungi; Ascomycota; Eurotiomycetes; Eurotiales; Aspergillaceae
Description: sequence contains ITS2
Source: RNAcentral